UGAGUAACGCGUGGGAACCUGCCCUGUGGUACGGAAUAACUCUGGGAAACCGGAGACUAAUAGCGUAUACGCCCUACGGGGGAAAGAUUUAUCGCCAUAGGAUGGGCCCGCGUCAGAUUAGCUUGUUGGUGGGGUAACGGCCUACCAAUGCUACGAUCUGUAGCUGGUCUGAGAGGAUGAUCAGCCACACUGGGACUGAGACACGGCCCAGACUCCUACGGGAGGCAGCAGUGGGGAAUCUUGGACAGUGGGCGAAAGCCUGAUCCAGCCAUGCCGCGUGAGUGAAGAAGGCCCUAUGGUUGUAAAGCUCUUUCAGCGGGGAAGAUAAUGACGGUACCCGCAGAAGAAGCCCCGGCUAACUUCGUGCCAGCAGCCGCGGUAAUACGAAGGGGGCUAGCGUUGUUCGGAAUUACUGGGCGUAAAGCGCGCGUAGGCGGACUGGCCAGUCAGGGGUGAAAGCCCGGGGCUUAACCUCGGAACUGCCCUUGAUACUGCCAGUCUAGAGUCCGGCAGAGGUGAGUGGAAUUCCUAGUGUAGAGGUGAAAUUCGUAGAUAUUAGGAAGAACACCA
This 570-nucleotide ribosomal RNA is filed under the name uncultured organism. RNAcentral describes it as "bacterial SSU rRNA". It matches the Rfam family "Bacterial small subunit ribosomal RNA", at positions 107 to 711 of the family's 1533-position model. The record is from RNAcentral.